UACAGAGGUGGCAAGCGUUGUUCGGAAUUACUGGGCGUAAAGGGCGCGUAGGCGGCCCGUCAAGUCCCGUGUGAAAGCCCCCGGCUCAACCGGGGAACUGCACGGGAAACUAGCAGGCUUGAGUUCGGGAGAGGGAAGCGGAAUUUCGGGUGUAGCGGUGAAAUGCGCAGAUAUCCGAAGGAACACCGGUGGCGAAGGCGGAUCUCUGGGCUGGAACUGACGCUGAGGAGCGAAAGCGUGGGUAGCAAACAGG
RNAcentral lists this ribosomal RNA (253 nucleotides) under uncultured bacterium. RNAcentral's name for it is "partial 16S ribosomal RNA". It matches the Rfam family "Bacterial small subunit ribosomal RNA", at positions 524 to 776 of the family's 1533-position model. The record is from RNAcentral.